Molecule: ribosomal RNA, 514 nt
Filed under: uncultured bacterium
Lineage: Bacteria
Description: partial 16S ribosomal RNA
Rfam family: Bacterial small subunit ribosomal RNA
Source: RNAcentral
GAUGAACGCUGGCGGCGUGCCUAAUACAUGCAAGUCGAGCGCGAGAGUGAGGAGCUUGCUCCUCAUAAUCGAGCGGCGGACGGGUGAGUAACACGUAGGCAACCUACCCUUGAGAUUGGGAUAACUACCGGAAACGGUAGCUAAUACCGGAUACGACUUUUCCACACAAGUGGAAUGGUUAAAAGGCGGAUUUAUCUGCCGCUCAUGGAUGGGCCUGCGGUGCAUUAGCUAGUUGGUGAGGUAGUGGCUCACCAAGGCGACGAUGCAUAGCCGACCUGAGAGGGUGAUCGGCCACACUGGGACUGAGACACGGCCCAGACUCCUACGGGAGGCAGCAGUAGGGAAUCUUCCGCAAUGGACGCAAGUCUGACGGAGCAACGCCGCGUGAGUGAUGAAGGGUUUCGGCUCGUAAAACUCUGUUGUUAAGGAAGAACACUUUAGGUAGUAACUGGCCUAGAGAUGACGGUACUUAACUAGAAAGCCACGGCUAACUACGUGCCAGCCGCCGCCGUAA